This 91-nucleotide non-coding RNA is filed under the name Atlantibacter hermannii. Its description in RNAcentral is "Plasmid-encoded Shigella sRNA A". It matches the Rfam family "Plasmid-encoded Shigella sRNA A". The record is from RNAcentral. RNAcentral also lists the same sequence under 1 other name. Lineage: Bacteria; Pseudomonadati; Pseudomonadota; Gammaproteobacteria; Enterobacterales; Enterobacteriaceae.
UGGCUACGAAAAGAGUUUUAAUUUUAAAAAGAGACCGCUGAGUUUGCGGUCUCAGGCGACAGGCACAUUACGGAGAGAAACUAUGUUUGAA